AUGAUAUAGCCACAAACUCUUGUACAAGAUAAGUUUAUACAAGAGUUUGUGGUUGUAUCAUCACUCAUAAUUAAAAGAACAGUACAUGGCAAGAGCUCUGUGUCAAAACACUAUUCUCUUUUUGGAUUCUUUGAUGGUAUAGUUUACAAGCUUUGUCUAAGGUUAGUAUUACAGUUUUUUAAUCAAGAAGAGCUAUGGUCUUUUUGGAUUCUUUGAUGGUAUAGUUUACAAGCUUUGUCUAAGAUUAGUAUUACAGUUUUUUAAUCAAGAAGAGCUAUGGUCUUUGCCGCUCAAUGGUGUUUGUUUGCUUUUAGUAAUUUAUGAUGUUGGGUUUGUUAGAAAUGACCUCUACUGCUAGACUUAUCUAUUUUGUUAUUGGUUUUUUUUUUUUUCACUUUUCUCUGGAAG
RNAcentral lists this long non-coding RNA (408 nucleotides) under Citrus sinensis (sweet orange). RNAcentral's name for it is "long non-coding RNA (CSIN_LNC002810)". Lineage: Eukaryota; Viridiplantae; Streptophyta; Magnoliopsida; Sapindales; Rutaceae. The record is from RNAcentral.